This 827-nucleotide ribosomal RNA is filed under the name Lachnellula willkommii. Its description in RNAcentral is "partial large subunit ribosomal RNA". It matches the Rfam family "Eukaryotic large subunit ribosomal RNA", at positions 75 to 919 of the family's 3401-position model. Lineage: Eukaryota; Fungi; Ascomycota; Leotiomycetes; Helotiales; Lachnaceae. The record is from RNAcentral.
UUACCUCAGUAACGGCGAGUGAAGCGGUAACAGCUCAAAUUUGAAAUCUGGCUCUUUUAGGGUCCGAGUUGUAAUUUGUAGAAGAUGCUUUGGGCGUGGCUCCGGUCUAAGUUCCUUGGAACAGGACGUCAUAGAGGGUGAGAAUCCCGUAUGUGACUGGUAGCUUUCGCCCGUGUAAAGCUCUUUCGACGAGUCGAGUUGUUUGGGAAUGCAGCUCAAAAUGGGUGGUAAAUUUCAUCUAAAGCUAAAUAUUGGCCAGAGACCGAUAGCGCACAAGUAGAGUGAUCGAAAGAUGAAAAGCACUUUGGAAAGAGAGUUAAACAGUACGUGAAAUUGUUGAAAGGGAAGCGCUUGCAACCAGACUCGCAGGCCGUCGAUCAUCCAGGGUUCUCCCCGGUGCACUCGGCGGUUUUCGGGCCAGCAUCGGUUUGGGUGGUGGGAUAAAGGCCUUGGGAAUGUAGCUUCUUUCGGGGAGUGUUAUAGCCCUCGGUGCAAUGCCGCCUACCCGGACCGAGGACCGCGCUUCGGCUAGGAUGCUGGCGUAAUGGUUGUAAGCGACCCGUCUUGAAACACGGACCAAGGAGUCUAACAUCUAUGCGAGUAUUUGGGUGUUAAACCCAUAUGCGUAAUGAAAGUGAACGGAGGUGAGAACCCUUAAGGGUGCAUCAUCGACCGAUCCUGAUGUCUUCGGAUGGAUUUGAGUAAGAGCAUAGCUGUUGGGACCCGAAAGAUGGUGAACUAUGCCUAAAUAGGGUGAAGCCAGAGGAAACUCUGGUGGAGGCUCGCAGCGGUUCUGACGUGCAAAUCGAUCGUCAAAUUUGGGUAUA